GUUGCCAUCGGGUAAUGCCGGGCGACUCUGGAAGGACUGCCAUCGACAAGGAUGGAGGAAGGUGGGGAUGACGUCAAGUCAUCAUGGCCCUUAUGUCCGGGGCGACACACGUGCUACAAUGGCCGGCACAACGGGAAGCGAGUUCGCGAGGACGAGCGGAUCCCUCAAAGCCGGUCGCAGUUCGGAUUGAAGUCUGCAACUCGACUUCAUGAAGCUGGAAUCGCUAGUAAUCGUGGAUCAGCCAAGCCGCGGUGAAUACGUUCCCGGGCCUU
RNAcentral lists this ribosomal RNA (272 nucleotides) under uncultured Synergistaceae bacterium. RNAcentral describes it as "partial 16S ribosomal RNA". It matches the Rfam family "Bacterial small subunit ribosomal RNA", at positions 1114 to 1382 of the family's 1533-position model. The record is from RNAcentral. Lineage: Bacteria; Thermotogati; Synergistota; Synergistia; Synergistales; Synergistaceae.